This 1394-nucleotide ribosomal RNA is filed under the name uncultured bacterium. Its description in RNAcentral is "bacterial SSU rRNA". It matches the Rfam family "Bacterial small subunit ribosomal RNA". The record is from RNAcentral.
AGAGUUUGAUCAUGGCUCAGGAUGAACGCUAGCUACAGGCUUAACACAUGCAAGUCGAGGGGCAGCAUGGUCUUAGCUUGCUAAGGCCGAUGGCGACCGGCGCACGGGUGAGUAACACGUAUCCAACCUGCCGUCUACUCUUGGACAGCCUUCUGAAAGGAAGAUUAAUACAAGAUGGCAUCAUGAGUCCGCAUGUUCACAUGAUUAAAGGUAUUCCGGUAGACGAUGGGGAUGCGUUCCAUUAGAUAGUAGGCGGGGUAACGGCCCACCUAGUCUUCGAUGGAUAGGGGUUCUGAGAGGAAGGUCCCCCACAUUGGAACUGAGACACGGUCCAAACUCCUACGGGAGGCAGCAGUGAGGAAUAUUGGUCAAUGGGCGAGAGCCUGAACCAGCCAAGUAGCGUGAAGGAUGACUGCCCUAUGGGUUGUAAACUUCUUUUAUAAAGGAAUAAAGUCGGGUAUGCAUACCCGUUUGCAUGUACUUUAUGAAUAAGGAUCGGCUAACUCCGUGCCAGCAGCCGCGGUAAUACGGAGGAUCCGAGCGUUAUCCGGAUUUAUUGGGUUUAAAGGGAGCGUAGAUGGAUGUUUAAGUCAGUUGUGAAAGUUUGCGGCUCAACCGUAAAAUUGCAGUUGAUACUGGAUAUCUUGAGUGCAGUUGAGGCAGGCGGAAUUCGUGGUGUAGCGGUGAAAUGCUUAGAUAUCACGAAGAACUCCGAUUGCGAAGGCAGCCUGCUAAGCUGCAACUGACAUUGAGGCUCGAAAGUGUGGGUAUCAAACAGGAUUAGAUACCCUGGUAGUCCACACGGUAAACGAUGAAUACUCGCUGUUUGCGAUAUACUGCAAGCGGCCAAGCGAAAGCGUUAAGUAUUCCACCUGGGGAGUACGCCGGCAACGGUGAAACUCAAAGGAAUUGACGGGGGCCCGCACAAGCGGAGGAACAUGUGGUUUAAUUCGAUGAUACGCGAGGAACCUUACCCGGGCUUAAAUUGCAGAUGAAUUACGGUGAAAGCCGUAAGCCGCAAGGCAUCUGUGAAGGUGCUGCAUGGUUGUCGUCAGCUCGUGCCGUGAGGUGUCGGCUUAAGUGCCAUAACGAGCGCAACCCUUGUUGUCAGUUACUAACAGGUUCCGCUGAGGACUCUGACAAGACUGCCAUCGUAAGAUGUGAGGAAGGUGGGGAUGACGUCAAAUCAGCACGGCCCUUACGUCCGGGGCUACACACGUGUUACAAUGGGGGGUACAGAGGGCCGCUACCACGCGAGUGGAUGCCAAUCCCAAAAACCUCUCUCAGUUCGGACUGGAGUCUGCAACCCGACUCCACGAAGCUGGAUUCGCUAGUAAUCGCGCAUCAGCCACGGCGCGGUGAAUACGUUCCCGGGCCUUGCACACACCGCCCGU